UGCUUGGGAAUAUGCCUUAUGGUGGGGACGAACAGUUGGAAACGACUGCUAAUACCGCAUGAUGUCUUUGGACCAAAGUGGGGACCGUUCGGGCCUCACGCCAUAAGAUUAGCCCAAGUGGGAUUAGCUAGUUGGUGAGGUAAUGGCUCACCAAGGCGACGAUCCCUAGCUGGUUUGAGAGGAUGAUCAGCCACGCUGGGACUGAGACACGGCCCAGACUCCUACGGGAGGCAGCAGUGGGGAAUAUUGCACAAUGGGCGCAAGCCUGAUGCAGCCAUGCCGCGUGUGUGAAGAAGGCCU
This 300-nucleotide ribosomal RNA is filed under the name uncultured Pseudoalteromonas sp. RNAcentral describes it as "bacterial SSU rRNA". It matches the Rfam family "Bacterial small subunit ribosomal RNA", at positions 114 to 417 of the family's 1533-position model. The record is from RNAcentral. Lineage: Bacteria; Pseudomonadati; Pseudomonadota; Gammaproteobacteria; Alteromonadales; Pseudoalteromonadaceae.